Molecule: transfer RNA, 73 nt
Filed under: Microlunatus sp.
Lineage: Bacteria; Bacillati; Actinomycetota; Actinomycetes; Propionibacteriales; Propionibacteriaceae
Description: tRNA-Arg
Rfam family: tRNA
About the family: Transfer RNA (tRNA) molecules are approximately 80 nucleotides in length. Their secondary structure includes four short double-helical elements and three loops (D, anti-codon, and T loops).
Source: RNAcentral
GCCCCCGUAGCUCAGCGGAUAGAGCAGCGGACUUCUAAUCCGAGGGUCGCAGGUUCGAUUCCUGCCGGGGGCA